CCACACCUAAAAAACUUUCCACGUGAACCGUUUCCACCCAAUAGUUGGGGGUCUUAUUUGGCGGCGGCUGCUGGCUUAAUUGUUGGCGGCUGCUGCUGAGUGACCCCUAUCAAAAAAAAGGCGAACGUUUGGGCUUCGGCCUGAUUUAGUAGUCUUUUUUUCUUUUAAACCCAUUCCUUAAUACUGAAUAUACUGUGGGGACGAAAGUCUCUGCUUUUAACUAGAUAGCAACUUUCAGCAGUGGAUGUCUAGGCUCGCACAUCGAUGAAGAACGCUGCGAACUGCGAUACGUAAUGCGAAUUGCAGGAUUCAGUGAGUCAUCGAAAUUUUGAACGCAUAUUGCACUUCCGGGUUAGUCCUGGAAGUAUGCCUGUAUCAGUGUCCGUACAUUAAACUUGACUUUCUUCCUUCCGUGUAGUCGGUGGAGGAGAUGUCAGAUGUGAAGUGUCUUGCGAUUGGUCUUCGGACCGGCUGCGAGUCCUUUUAAAUGUACUAAACUGAACUUCUCUUUGCUCGAAAAGUGGUGGCGUUGCUGGUUGUGAAGGCUGCUAUUGUGGCAAAUUGGCGACUGGUUUGUCUGCUGCGGCAUUAAUGGAAGAGUGUUCGAUUCGUGGUAUGGUUGGCUUCGGCUGAACAAUGCACUUAUUGGACGUUUUUCCUGCUGUGGCGUGAUGGACUGGUGAACCAUAGCUCGGUGGCUUGGCUUUUGAAUUGGCUUUGCUGUUGCGAAGUAGGGUGGCAGCUUCGGUUGUCGAGGGUCGAUCCAUUUGGGAACUUAAUGUGUACUUCGGUAUGCAUCUCAA
Molecule: ribosomal RNA, 803 nt
Rfam family: 5.8S ribosomal RNA (bases 230-384)